UCCAUGGUGACGUGAGGAUGUGCCACAUGGUCUAUCCCAUCUUCGCACUUGGCGAUCAGGAUUUCUUCUGCCGCGAUGUCUCCCUGCUUCUACUUGCUCAGCCUCAGCAGAAAACUCCUAACACAAAUCAACACCUAAUAAGUCACCCAUAUCAGGUAUUGCUCCGGGUACAUUUCAUUGCGGAGCUAAUGGGGCGUUAGGUGUUGUCAUUGGGGCAUCAUGUUGCUGUGAAGGGGUCAUAGUCGGCCAUGAAAAAUGAGGAUGUGUUUCCG
RNAcentral lists this long non-coding RNA (272 nucleotides) under Glycine max (soybean). RNAcentral describes it as "long non-coding RNA (GMAX_LNC001989)". The record is from RNAcentral. Lineage: Eukaryota; Viridiplantae; Streptophyta; Magnoliopsida; Fabales; Fabaceae.